This 321-nucleotide ribosomal RNA is filed under the name uncultured eukaryote. RNAcentral's name for it is "partial 18S ribosomal RNA". It matches the Rfam family "Eukaryotic small subunit ribosomal RNA", at positions 1470 to 1796 of the family's 1831-position model. The record is from RNAcentral.
CCCUUAGAUGUCCUGGGCCGCACGCGCGCUACACUGACAUGUUCAACAAGCCUCCUAGUUCGACAGGAUUUGGGAAAUCUUUGAACGCAUGUCGUGAUAGGGAUAGAUCAUUGCAAUUAUUGAUCUUGGACGAGGAAUUCCUAGUAAACGCGAGUCAUCAGCUCGCAUUGAUUACGUCCCUGCCCUUUGUACACACCGCCCGUCGCACCUACCGAUUGAAUGUUUCGGUGAAGAUUCCGGAUAGGACUUUUUUGAUUUAUUUCAAUUUUGUCUUAAAAGCUAUCUAAACCUCAACAUUUAGAGGAAGGUGAAGUCGUAACA